AGAGUUUGAUCAUGGCUCAGGAUGAACGCUAGCGGGAGGCUUAACACAUGCAAGCCGAGGGGUAUUCAGUUGCUUGCAACUGAAGAGACCGGCGCACGGGUGAGUAACGCGUAUGUAACUUGCCUCAUUCAACGGGAUAGCCCGGGGAAACCCGGAUUAAUAUCGUAUAACAGCCGGACAGGCAUCUGUUUGGUUUGAAAGAUUCAUCGGAAUGAGAUAGACAUGCGUAUGAUUAGUUAGUUGGCGGGGUAACGGCCCACCAAGACGAUGAUCAUUAGGGGUCCUGAGAGGGUGAUCCCCCACACUGGUACUGAGACACGGACCAGACUCCUACGGGAGGCAGCAGUGAGGAAUAUUGGACAAUGGGUGAGAGCCUGAUCCAGCCAUCCCGCGUGCAGGAAGACGGCCUUAUGGGUUGUAAACUGCUUUUAUACAGGAAUAAACCAUCUUACGAGUAGGGUGUUGAAGGUACUGUAUGAAUAAGCACCGGCUAACUCCGUGCCAGCAGCCGCGGUAAUACGGAGGGUGCAAGCGUUAUCCGGAUUUAUUGGGUUUAAAGGGUCCGCAGGCGGGUCUGUAAGUCAGGGGUGAAAUCCGGCAGCUUAACUGUCGAACUGCCUUUGAUACUGCAGGUCUUGAGUGGGAAUGAAGCAGCUGGAAUGUGUGGUGUAGCGGUGAAAUGCAUAGAUAUCACACAGAACACCGAUAGCGAAGGCAGGUUGCUAAUUCUCAACUGACGCUGAGGGACGAAAGCGUGGGGAGCGAACAGGAUUAGAUACCCUGGUAGUCCACGCCGUAAACGAUGGAUACUGUCUGUUGGUUCGUAAGGAUCAGUGGAUAAGCGAAAGUGAUAAGUAUCCCACCUGGGGAGUACGUUCGCAAGAAUGAAACUCAAAGGAAUUGACGGGGGCCCGCACAAGCGGUGGAACAUGGGGUUUAAUUCGAUGAUACGCGAGGAACCUUAC
This 965-nucleotide ribosomal RNA is filed under the name uncultured bacterium. RNAcentral describes it as "bacterial SSU rRNA". It matches the Rfam family "Bacterial small subunit ribosomal RNA", at positions 8 to 974 of the family's 1533-position model. The record is from RNAcentral.